UGGAAUAUAGUUAAAUUUUAUAAUAUUUAUUUUGCAAAUAAAAGUUAUUAGUUUAAUUUUCUAA
RNAcentral lists this transfer RNA (64 nucleotides) under Sycophila sp. 2 JXW-2020. RNAcentral describes it as "tRNA-Ala". Lineage: Eukaryota; Metazoa; Arthropoda; Insecta; Hymenoptera; Eurytomidae. The record is from RNAcentral.